This 301-nucleotide ribosomal RNA is filed under the name uncultured bacterium. RNAcentral's name for it is "partial 16S ribosomal RNA". It matches the Rfam family "Bacterial small subunit ribosomal RNA", at positions 509 to 808 of the family's 1533-position model. The record is from RNAcentral.
CAGCCGCCGCGGGAAUACAGAGGGUGCGAGCGUUAAUCGGAUUUACUGGGCGUAAAGCGUGCGUAGGCGGCUUCUUAAGUCGGAUGUGAAAUCCCUGAGCUUAACUUAGGAAUUGCAUUCGAUACUGGGAAGCUAGAGUAUGGGAGAGGAUGGUAGAAUUCCAGGUGUAGCGGUGAAAUGCGUAGAGAUCUGGAGGAAUACCGAUGGCGAAGGCAGCCAUCUGGCCUAAUACUGACGCUGAGGUACGAAAGCAUGGGAGCAAACAGGAUUAGAUACCCCUGUAGUCCCUGUCUCUUAUACC